RNAcentral lists this ribosomal RNA (301 nucleotides) under uncultured bacterium. Its description in RNAcentral is "partial 16S ribosomal RNA". It matches the Rfam family "Bacterial small subunit ribosomal RNA", at positions 509 to 807 of the family's 1533-position model. The record is from RNAcentral.
CAGCCGCCGCGGGAAUACGUAGGGCGCAAGCGUUAUCCGGAAUUAUUGGGCGUAAAGAGCUCGUAGGCGGUUUGUCGCGUCUGCCGUGAAAGUCCGGGGCUCAACCCCGGAUCUGCGGUGGGUACGGGCAGACUAGAGUGAUGUAGGGGAGACUGGAAUUCCUGGUGUAGCGGUGAAAUGCGCAGAUAUCAGGAGGAACACCGAUGGCGAAGGCAGGUCUCUGGGCAUUAACUGACGCUGAGGAGCGAAAGCAUGGGGAGCGGACAGGAUUAGAGACCCCCGUAGUCCCUGUCUCUUAUAC